UCCCACAAGGUUAAGGGAGCACUGUGGGCCCUUGACUGACAGUGUGGGGCAUGAUGGGAGAAGGCUCUCAAAGGCUAAGUCACCAGCAGAGUCUGACAGCCUCACUCUGUCCUACUAGGAUCCCCACAGCCGGCAUGUGGGGCACUGUGGGUGCCGUGGGACUGGUGUGGGUCACGGACUGGCGGCUGAUCCUGGACUGGGUGCCGUACAUCAAUGGCAAGUUUAAGAAGGACGAUUAGGCAGCCCCCUCCCCCACCACAGGCCUCGAUGGUGAGUCUGAGUGUUGGGCCUGACUACUCUGGGUUGGGGAUUUUGGGGUGGCCUGGACCUCAAACAGGGAUUCCUGCGACUUCCCCCAACACCUGGAUUCUGGAUCCUCCCUCAGCUGCUGGGCUGGCCUUGUUCAUGAAGCCGGUACUGAAGAGCCAUUGUCAGCUGUGGACAUCCAGCAGAGCUGGUGCCUGAGCCCUGGGUAGGAUGCAGACACCCACUGUCCAGCUGGGGAGCUGAAGCUGCCCCUUGCCACAGGCCUCUAGGGAUACAUUGCAUGCUGAGGGCAUGCACCACUGUGUCCCCAUCAAACCACACAAGACUGGAUAUGUUGCUAAUGUUGGUGGCUUGUGUCCAGAAUACAGUCCUAUUUAGACCACCC
This 652-nucleotide long non-coding RNA is filed under the name Rattus norvegicus (Norway rat). RNAcentral's name for it is "long non-coding RNA NONRATT025566". The record is from RNAcentral. Lineage: Eukaryota; Metazoa; Chordata; Mammalia; Rodentia; Muridae.